GAUGAACGCUGGCGGCGUGCCUAACACAUGCAAGUCGAGCGGCAGCGAGGGGUGCUUGCACCCUGUCGGCGAGCGGCGGACGGCUGAGUAACGCGUGGGAACGUGCCCCAAAGUGAGGAAUAACUGCCCGAAAGGGUAGCUAAUACCGCAUAUUAUCUUCGGAUCAAAGGAUUUAUCCGCUUUGGGAGCGGCUCGCGUCGGACUAGGUAGUUGGUGAGGUAAUGGCUCACCAAGCCGACGAUCCGUAGCUGGUCUGAGAGGGUGACCAGCCAGACUGGAACUGAGACACGGUCCAGACUCCUACGGGAGGCAGCAGUGAGGAAUCUUCCACAAUGGGCGAAAGCCUGAUGGAGCAACGCCGCGUGCAGGACGAAGGCCUUCGGGUUGUAAACUGCUUUUAUAAGUGAGGAAUAUGACGGUAACUUAUGAAUAAGGAUCGGCUAACUACGUG
This 451-nucleotide ribosomal RNA is filed under the name uncultured bacterium. RNAcentral's name for it is "partial 16S ribosomal RNA". It matches the Rfam family "Bacterial small subunit ribosomal RNA", at positions 28 to 507 of the family's 1533-position model. The record is from RNAcentral.